This 389-nucleotide ribosomal RNA is filed under the name Enterobacter endosymbiont of Ommatissus lybicus. RNAcentral's name for it is "bacterial SSU rRNA". It matches the Rfam family "Bacterial small subunit ribosomal RNA", at positions 588 to 976 of the family's 1533-position model. Lineage: Bacteria; Pseudomonadati; Pseudomonadota; Gammaproteobacteria; Enterobacterales; Enterobacteriaceae. The record is from RNAcentral.
UCGGAUGUGAAAUCCCCGGGCUCAACCUGGGAACUGCAUUCGAAACUGGCAGGCUAGAGUCUUGUAGAGGGGGGUAGAAUUCCAGGUGUAGCGGUGAAAUGCGUAGAGAUCUGGAGGAAUACCGGUGGCGAAGGCGGCCCCCUGGACAAAGACUGACGCUCAGGUGCGAAAGCGUGGGGAGCAAACAGGAUUAGAUACCCUGGUAGUCCACGCCGUAAACGAUGUCGACUUGGAGGUUGUGCCCUUGAGGCGUGGCUUCCGGAGCUAACGCGUUAAGUCGACCGCCUGGGGAGUACGGCCGCAAGGUUAAAACUCAAAUGAAUUGACGGGGGCCCGCACAAGCGGUGGAGCAUGUGGUUUAAUUCGAUGCAACGCGAAGAACCUUACCU